AUUGAACGCUGGCGGCAGGCCUAACACAUGCAAGUCGAGCGAGCGGCGGACGGGUGAGUAAUGUAUGGGGACUGCCCGAUAGAGGGGGAUAACUACUGGAAACGGUGGCUAAUACCGCAUACUAUCGGAUAACCCAUAUGGGAUUAGCUAGUGGGUGGGGUAAAGGCUCACCUAGGCGACGAUCUCUAGCUGGUCUGAGAGGAUGAUCAGCCAAACUGGGACUGAGACACGGCCCGGACUCCAACGGAGGCAGCAGUGGGGAGUAUGGCACAAUGGGCGCAAGACAGAUGAAGCCACGCCGCGUGUAUGAAGAAGGCCUUAGGGUUGUAAAGAACUGUCAGCGAGGAGGCGGUACCCGAAGAAGAAGCACCGGCUAACUCCGUGCCAGCAGCCGCAGUAAUCC
This 403-nucleotide ribosomal RNA is filed under the name uncultured bacterium. RNAcentral's name for it is "partial 16S ribosomal RNA". It matches the Rfam family "Bacterial small subunit ribosomal RNA", at positions 29 to 526 of the family's 1533-position model. The record is from RNAcentral.